Molecule: ribosomal RNA, 174 nt
Filed under: uncultured bacterium
Lineage: Bacteria
Description: partial 16S ribosomal RNA
Rfam family: Bacterial small subunit ribosomal RNA
Source: RNAcentral
UUGGACAAUGGGCGCAAGCCUGAUCCAGCAAUGCCGCGUGAGUGAAGAAGGCCUUCGGGUUGUAAAGCUCUUUCAGUCGAGAAGAAAAGAUUACUGAUAAUACCAGUAAUCCAUGACGGUAUCGACAGAAGAAGCACCGGCUAACUACGUGCCAGCAGCCGCGGUAAUAAGGGC